RNAcentral lists this long non-coding RNA (311 nucleotides) under Fukomys damarensis (Damara mole-rat). RNAcentral's name for it is "lncRNA (ENSFDAG00000025188.1)". Lineage: Eukaryota; Metazoa; Chordata; Mammalia; Rodentia; Bathyergidae. The record is from RNAcentral.
GUGAAGAGGAAGUUGUGUGAGCUGAGAACACAUUCCCCGUCUGAUAUUCUGGGAGAGUUGUCACCAAGUCCCAUCACCAGGCCACCUCUGGCCCUUGCUGUGGAUCCCCUCCUGUAACUGCUAAUCAAAUCAGUGAAGUUCCUUGUGUCUCUCUUCAUGGAUUGCCAGAAAAUAGAGGUGGAAUUGACAGCAGAAAGGAUGGCGCUGAGGCAUAAGAACUCCCUGGGGUUCCGCGAUUAGGACCGGAAAGAAGUGCCCACUGGAAUGUGUACACACGCCUCCCAGCAUACCACAGAGGAGAGCUGCCCACC